This 478-nucleotide ribosomal RNA is filed under the name uncultured bacterium. Its description in RNAcentral is "SSU rRNA". It matches the Rfam family "Bacterial small subunit ribosomal RNA", at positions 26 to 518 of the family's 1533-position model. The record is from RNAcentral.
AGGACGAACGCUGGCGGCGCGCUUAACACAUGCAAGUCGAGCGAGAACCAGUCUUCGGACUGGGGAAAGCGGCGAACGGGUGAGUAACACGUGGGUAAUCAACCCUUGACACCGGGAUAGCCCGAGGAAACUCGGAUUAAUACCGGAUGGCCCAACAGUCUUUCGGGGCGGUUGGAAAAGGUAGCUUCGGCCUCCGGUCAGGGACGAGCCCGCGGCGGAUUAGCUUGUUGGUGAGGUAACGGCUCACCAAGGCAACGAUCCGUAGCUGGUCUGAGAGGACGAUCAGCCACACUGGGACUGAGACACGGCCCAGACUCCUACGGGAGGCAGCAGUGGGGAAUCUUGCACAAUGGGCGAAAGCCUGAUGCAGCGACGCCGCGUGGAUGAUGAAGGCCUUAGGGUUGUAAAGUCCUUUUAACGGGGAAGAUAAUGACGGUACCCGUAGAAUAAGCCCGGCUAACUUCGUGCCAGCAGCCGC